This 595-nucleotide ribosomal RNA is filed under the name uncultured marine eukaryote. Its description in RNAcentral is "SSU rRNA". It matches the Rfam family "Eukaryotic small subunit ribosomal RNA", at positions 1 to 602 of the family's 1831-position model. The record is from RNAcentral.
AACCUGGUUGAUCCUGCCAGUAGUCAUAUGCUUGUCUCAAAGACUAAGCCAUGCAUGUCUAAGUAUAAGUAUUAUACAGCGAAACUGCGAAUGGCUCAUUAAAACAGUUAUAAUUUAUUUGAUAAUCGAAUUUACAUGGAUAACCGUGGUAAUUCUAGAGCUAAUACAUGCUGGUAGGCCCGACUUUUUGGAAGGGCGGUAUUUAUUAGAUAACAAACCAAUAUUCCUCUGGUCUAUUGUGGUGAAUCAUAAUAACUGAUCGAAUCGCAAGGUUUUUAACCGGGAUAAGUCAUUCAAGUUUCUGCCCCAUCAGCUUUCGAUGGUAGUGUACUGGACUACCAUGGCUUUUACGGGUAACGGAGGAUUAGGGUUCGAUUCCGGAGAGGGAGCCUGAGAAACGGCUACCACAUCUAAGGAAGGCAGCAGGCGCGUAAAUUACCCAAUCCUGACUCAGGGAGGUAGUGACAAGAAAUAACGGACCGAGGCCUUCGGGCUUCGGGAUUGCAAUGAGCCGAAUUUACACCCCUUAGCGAAGAUCGAAUGGAGGGCAAGUCUGGUGCCAGCAGCCGCGGUAGUUCCAGCUCCAAUAGCGUAU